UUAAUAGGUACUCAGACAGAAGCCCAGGCAACAUACACAUAUAAUCAAUUACAUCUUUCUGUAACUAUCACGUUUGAUUUCAGAUUUACUCUGAGUGCGCAGUCUUAUACGGGACAGUGACUCACUAACAAUACCUUUCCCUCCAUAUUCAGUGUUUUAUUUUCUCCCUUUACAUACAAUCCAAAGAAUAUCAUUGUAAAGUCAGGUUUUAUAUGCUGACAAGCACAGAACCAAACAAACCCAAUAUACAUCAGUAAAGAGUUCUAUUCUGCUAAAAAGAGUUUAAUGAUCCAAAUAAGCACUACCAUCAAUAAGAACUUCAAUGAGGUCAUAGAGUUUGAUUUGUAAAAACUUUGGCCCUUUCUUUAUCUAUUUUCUUGGCCAUAUUCAAAGUAGAGAAAAAAAUAUAAAGAACUGUCCAAACUUUAUGCACUUUGUGUUUGAGUCCAAAAAUUUUUAUUCCGAUUACUAGAGUCAGAAAAGUUACACAAUUCAGUUUCUUAUUACUCAAAUUGAAAAGGCUAUGUUUAUACUGUUAAGACACUUAUACUUUAUACAUUAUUACCUAUAUAUUUAGAAAGAAUACAGGUGACAUUCAGUACCUUUUGUUACAAAAGGGAAGGAAAAAAAAAAAAAAACGAGAAAAGAAAUUUUGUCAAACUGCUUCAAAACUUUGUUUUGUAGAAAUACCCCAGUUGAGGUUACAAUGCAUGUAAUAACAAUUCAAAAGUAAACACCUAGAAAAUAAUCUAG
This 753-nucleotide long non-coding RNA is filed under the name Bos taurus (domestic cattle). RNAcentral's name for it is "long non-coding RNA NONBTAT022557". The record is from RNAcentral. Lineage: Eukaryota; Metazoa; Chordata; Mammalia; Artiodactyla; Bovidae.